This 29-nucleotide non-coding RNA is filed under the name Homo sapiens (human). The record is from RNAcentral. Lineage: Eukaryota; Metazoa; Chordata; Mammalia; Primates; Hominidae.
UAACACUGAAGAGCCUUCACAUUGAUGCA